AUAAGCCUCGACUACUCUCUGAGCGGUGACAUCGCAGUGACGCCCCACAGCCUCGAUGUGCCUUUCAAAGGCAGGGUGUUCAGUCAGGAGGUUGCCAAUGAUGAUCCAAUAGAGGGACCUGCAGAUCCAGUCUUCAGAGAGACUAACCUAAUGGCUUAUAUAGGCGUCUCUGAGUUUUUCUUCAACAGUGCCGCCAGGUUUUUUAACAGAUCACAA
Clupea harengus (Atlantic herring) is the source of this 216-nucleotide long non-coding RNA. RefSeq lists it as uncharacterized. The transcript has 2 exons. NCBI's taxonomy places the organism in Eukaryota, Metazoa, Chordata, Actinopteri, Clupeiformes, Clupeidae. The record is from RefSeq and is a predicted model, not a curated record.